AUGGUUGUCGUCAGCUCGUGCCGUGAGGUGUCGGCUUAAGUGCCAUAACGAGCGCAACCCCCAUCGACAGUUGCUAACAGGUUAGGCUGAGGACUCUGUCGAGACUGCCGGCGCAAGCUGCGAGGAAGGCGGGGAUGACGUCAAAUCAGCACGGCCCUUACGUCCGGGGCGACACACGUGUUUCAAUGGCAGGUACAGCGGGAAGCCACCUGGCGACAGGGAGCGGAACCCGAAAGCCUGUCUCAGUUCGGAUUGGAGUCUGCAACCCGACUCCAUGAAGCUGGAUUCGCUAGUAAUCGCGCAUCAGCCACGGCGCGGUGAAUACGUUCCCGGGCCUUGUACACACCGCCCGUCAAGCCAUGGAAGCCGGGGGUGCCUGAAGUGCGCUGCCGCAAGGAGCGCCCUAGGGUAAAACCGGUGACUGGGGCUAAGUCGUAACAAGGUAACCGUAAGGGCGAAUUCGC
Molecule: ribosomal RNA, 464 nt
Filed under: uncultured bacterium
Lineage: Bacteria
Description: bacterial SSU rRNA
Rfam family: Bacterial small subunit ribosomal RNA
Source: RNAcentral